RNAcentral lists this ribosomal RNA (253 nucleotides) under uncultured bacterium. RNAcentral describes it as "partial 16S ribosomal RNA". It matches the Rfam family "Bacterial small subunit ribosomal RNA", at positions 524 to 776 of the family's 1533-position model. The record is from RNAcentral.
UACGGGGGGGGCAAGCGUUGUUCGGAAUUACUGGGCGUAAAGGGCUCGUAGGCGGCCAACUAAGUCGGAUGUGAAAUCCCCAGGCUUAACCUGGGAACGGCAUCCGAUACUGGAUGGCUUGAAUCCGGGAGAGGGAUGCAGAAUUCCAGGUGUAGCGGUGAAAUGCGUAGAUAUCUGGAGGAAUACCGGUGGCGAAGGCGGCAUCCUGGACCGGCAUUGACGCUGAGGAGCGAAAGCUAGGGGAGCAAACGGG